CCUCAUUAUCUCCAAGCUGGGCGGGUACUAAUUCAAACGACACAUUGUACUGUGAUUGGUUUCCUGUUUGUACUGUACCUGUAUUCCAUCAGGUCCAUAGGGGGCUGUCCUUGGACCUGAGGAAUUGCAUAAAUUGCCAUGUUUGUGUGCCAGUAAGGCCAGUUCGUUUUGACCCUCAACUUGCAGCAUCGAUUCAUGUUGUAGGGAUCCGGGAUAUUGAUGCUUAUACAGCUUUUGGGAUACUCUACACUUGCAGCUUUUAUCGAAGGAACUCCGUUCGACCCUCUUACUGCGGGAACCAGGACAUCCAAGCGAUCAACCCCCCCUGCUAGACCGGGGGCAAUCGUAACAGGGACCAAAUAGGAGACUGUGACAACAGUUAGACAUAUGGCAGUUCAGGACCCACAGAC
Molecule: non-coding RNA, 410 nt
Organism: Pelobates cultripes (western spadefoot toad)
Lineage: Eukaryota; Metazoa; Chordata; Amphibia; Anura; Pelobatidae
Source: the annotation of a GenBank genome assembly